This 406-nucleotide ribosomal RNA is filed under the name uncultured bacterium. RNAcentral's name for it is "partial 16S ribosomal RNA". It matches the Rfam family "Bacterial small subunit ribosomal RNA", at positions 29 to 526 of the family's 1533-position model. The record is from RNAcentral.
AUUGAACGCUGGCGGCAGGCCUAACACAUGCAAGUCGAGCGAGCGGCGGACGGGUGAGUGAUGUCUGGGAAACCGCCUGAUGGAUGGGGAUAACUACUGGAAACGGUAGCUAAUACCGCACACCAUCCGAUGUGCCCAGAUGGGAUUAGCUAGUGGGUGGGGUAAAGGCUCACCUAGGCGACGAUCCCUAGCUGGUCUGAGAGGAUGACCCGCCACACUGGGACUGAGACACGGUCCAGACUCCUACGGGAGGCAGCAGUGGGGAAUAUUGGGCAAUGGGCGAAAGCCUGAUGCAGCCAUGCCGCGUGUGUGAAGAAGGUCUUCGGGUUGUAAAGCACUUUCGGCGGGGAGGCGGUACCCGCAGAAGAAGCACCGGCUAACUCCGUGCCAGCAGCCGCGGUAAUUC